RNAcentral lists this ribosomal RNA (468 nucleotides) under uncultured bacterium. Its description in RNAcentral is "partial 16S ribosomal RNA". It matches the Rfam family "Bacterial small subunit ribosomal RNA", at positions 28 to 507 of the family's 1533-position model. The record is from RNAcentral.
GACGAACGCUGGCGGCGGGCUUAACACAUGCAAGUCGAACGGAAAGGCCCUGCUUUUGUGGGGUGCUCGGUUGGCGAACGGGUGAGUAACACGUGAGUAACCUGCCCUUGACUUUGGUAUAACUUCAGGAAACUGGGGCUAAUACCGUAUAGGAGCUCCUCCUGCAUGGUGGGGGUUGGAAAUUUUCGGCUGUUGGGGAUGGGCUCGCGGCUUAUCAGCUUGUUGGUGGGGUAGUGGCUUACCAAGGCUGUGACGGGUAGCCGGCAUGAGAGGGUGAACGGCGACCUGGGGACUGAGAUACGGACCAGAGUGCUACGGGAGGCAGCAGUGGGGAAUAUUGCACAAUGGGAGGAAGCCUGAUGAAGCAACGCCGCGGGCGGGAUGACGGCCUUCGGGGUGUAAACAGCUUUAGCUUGUGACGACGCGUGAGUGACGGUAAUGGGUAAAGAAGCACCGGCUAACUACGUG